GCAGCGUGCCGCUGCUCGCGCCGCCCUACGGUCCGCCUCGCGUUUCCGGAGUGUUAGUGGCUUGGCGGUCUGAGAUAAGAUGAUUGUUAAUGCGUUCUGACAACAGCCCUUGCGGGGACACCUACUUUCGGAGCAGUGAUAAAUCUCAGUACCCCUUGACUGAGGAAAAUCUGCGUUCCUUAAGCCACCUCUCAAAAAAUCAAAAACGUUUGUGUUCGGGAGUAAAGGGACUGUCCGACUGAAAUGAACUAGAGAGUAAAUGGUGGCUGGGAGGUAGGAUGCCAUAUCCAGCACUGCUCUCGAACUUCCCGGAGUGUGAGGAUCAUGAAGGGCGGAGAGAAGGUGAAGAAAUGAAGACAGGAUACAGAGAGCUGGGAUCAGGUGGAGCUCUCUCCUGUUGGCCAAAAGAACUGUUCACCUACUGCAGUGCAUUUAUUUAUACACUCAGCAGGUUGAGGUCAAGGGAAACCCCUUUGCCUAACAACUAGCUCACCUCUCUUGCUUCGUGUUCUGGGCGUUGGAAUACUGUUCACCUCUGAACAGUUGUGCCCUCUGAGUGCCCCCCCCGUCCUCCCCGCUCUGGGCCAGCACGUGUGAGCAAUCCGCAGCUCAGCCGCCCUGCUCCAACAGUGGGAUGUCUACAUCUGUAGCCUUUCUUAUAAUUAACACAUCGAGCAGAGGUGGAUGCUCGCCUUUGUUAUCAGCGUUACUUCACAGCCUCACACGUGUCACUGCACACUGCAGAGGGUGCCGUUCACAUCAAAUGUUUCUCCCGAUGGGAGGCUGUGAUUAUUCCCGUCUGUUUCAUAGCAGGGAGGAAAGGGUAGAAAUGCAGAUUCUACUUACAUAUCGCUCUUUUUGUUCCUUGGGUGUGUCUGCUGAGGUCAUCUUUUAGGGAAAUUGGGAUUGAGUUCCCUCCAUCCUCUUCCUGGGGAUACUGUGGCUCUCAGCUCUUGUUCUCGUUUGACAUAUCAUCUGUUUCCCAUCUCACCAGACAUCUUUUUCUCCAACUUUAGUCUCCCCUUUUGUUGCUUGUUUUCCCCUUGUCUUUCCAACUCAUGUGGAGCCCUGAUUUCUUGUAGAACCCUAAGUUUUGAUUUCUUAGGGCUUUUUCCUCUAGACUUUCCAACGAAAUUACAUUUUUACUCUUCAUCAGACAAAGCAGUUUAGUCUCAUAUAUCCGUCUCAGCUUGGUAUAUCCAAAAUCCUAUCUCCAUAAAAAGAAAAAGAUGUUACAUGAGGUCUUUCAAGACUUGUAUUGCAACAGGUUUGAAACUUUGACUCUUUUCUUUCAAGUGCAGUGGUACCUCGGCUUAGGAACCUAAUUUUCUCCCCAAUUCUGGUAGUAAACUUAACUGGAUGAGAAGCAAAUCAAAUUUCCCCCCAUAAGGUCAACAUUGAACCUAACCACUGAAUUUGAUUUAUUCUUGUCCAAUUCGGUUUGCUACCAGAAUUGUGGAAAGAAUCAAGUUCAUGAAUUGAGGUACCACUGUAUUGAUUUUAAGUGGACAUAAACCUUAUUUUCCAACUAAUAGAAAUUACUCUAUGCUUCCUUUAAAAGCAAAGCAGUUGCAAUCAUUUUGUAUUAAAAUAUCUUUUUCAUCUCAUUGUGUGUAUUCUCCUCUUCAUUACUUCACUCAACAAAUAAAAUUCUGCACAUGUUAGGUCUCAUGCACAGAAAAUAGGUAUGGAAUUCAAUGAGACCAAGAAAAAUCUCUUUACUUAUAAAGUUUAUAUUCUAGGGGGCUGGGGAUUUAGCUCAGCGGCACAGCACCUGACUGGCAAGCGCGAGGUCGUGAG
Molecule: long non-coding RNA, 1800 nt
Organism: Chinchilla lanigera (long-tailed chinchilla)
Lineage: Eukaryota; Metazoa; Chordata; Mammalia; Rodentia; Chinchillidae
Exons: 3
Source: RefSeq, a predicted model, not a curated record